GUGCUCACUUCGGCAGCACAUACACUAAAAUUGGAACGAUACAGAGAAGAUUAGGAUGGCCCCUGCGCAAGGAUGACACGCAAAUUCGUGAAAUGUUCCAUAUUUUG
This 107-nucleotide small nuclear RNA is filed under the name Moschus moschiferus (Siberian musk deer). The record is from RNAcentral. Lineage: Eukaryota; Metazoa; Chordata; Mammalia; Artiodactyla; Moschidae.